CAGCCGCCACGGUAAAACGUAGGGUGCGAGCGUUAAUCGGUAUUACUGGGCGUAAAGCGUGCGCAGGCGGUUCGUUAAGACAGAUGUGAAAUCCCCGGGCUUAACCUGGGAACUGCAUUUGUGACUGGCGAGCUAGAGUAUGGCAGAGGGGGGUAGAAUUCCACGUGUAGCAGUGAAAUGCGUAGAGAUGUGGAGGAAUACCGAUGGCGAAGGCAGCCCCCUGGGCCAAUACUGACGCUCAUGCACGAAAGCUAGGGGAGCAAACAGGAUUAGAUACCCGCGUAGUCCCUGUCUCUUAUAC
Molecule: ribosomal RNA, 301 nt
Filed under: uncultured bacterium
Lineage: Bacteria
Description: partial 16S ribosomal RNA
Rfam family: Bacterial small subunit ribosomal RNA
Source: RNAcentral